CUACGGGCGGCACCAGUGGGGAAUAUUGCACAAUGGGGGAAACCCUGAUGCAGCAACGCCGCGUGGAGGAUGACGCAUUUCGGUGUGUAAACUCCUUUUAUAUCCCAAGAUAAUGACGGUAGGAUAUGAAUAAGCACCGGCUAACUCCGUGCCAGCAGCCGCGGUAAUACGGAGGGUGCAAGCGUUACUCGGAAUCACUGGGCGUAAAGGGCGCGUAGGCGGGUUGUCAAGUCUUGAGUGAAAUCCAACGGCUCAACCGUUGAACUGCUUGAGAAACUGGCAGCCUAGAGUGAGGGAGAGGUAGAUGGAAUUGGUGGUGUAGGGGUAAAAUCCGUAGAGAUCACCAGGAAUACCCAUUGCGAAGGCGAUCUGCUGGAACUCUACUGACGCUGAGGCGCGAAAGCGUGGGGAGCAAACAGGAUUAGAUACCCGGGUAGUC
RNAcentral lists this ribosomal RNA (439 nucleotides) under uncultured bacterium. RNAcentral describes it as "partial 16S ribosomal RNA". It matches the Rfam family "Bacterial small subunit ribosomal RNA", at positions 339 to 795 of the family's 1533-position model. The record is from RNAcentral.